Molecule: small nucleolar RNA, 71 nt
Organism: Phodopus roborovskii (desert hamster)
Lineage: Eukaryota; Metazoa; Chordata; Mammalia; Rodentia; Cricetidae
Product: small nucleolar RNA SNORD93
Exons: 1
Source: RefSeq, a predicted model, not a curated record
UGGCCAAGGAUGAGAACUCUAACCUGAUUGGAUACACUGCUCUGAUGGGUUAAAGGAUUUACCUGAGGCCA